CCUACGGGUGGCAGCAGUGAGGAAUAUUGGACAAUGGGCGAAAGCCUGAUCCAGCCAUGCCGCGUGUGUGAAGAAGGCCUUCGGGUUGUAAAGCACUUUCAGUGGGGAAGAAAGCCUUGGGGCUAAUACCCUCGAGGAAGGACAUCACCCACAGAAGAAGCACCGGCUAACUCCGUGCCAGCAGCCGCGGUAAUACGGAGGGUGCGAGCGUUAAUCGGAAUUACUGGGCGUAAAGCGCGCGUAGGCGGUCUGAUAAGCCGGUUGUGAAAGCCCCGGGCUCAACCUGGGAACGGCAUCCGGAACUGUCAGGCUAGAGUGCAGGAGAGGAAGGUAGAAUUCCCGGUGUAGCGGUGAAAUGCGUAGAGAUCGGGAGGAAUACCAGUGGCGAAGGCAGCCUACUGGACUGACACUGACGCUGAGGUGCGAAAGCGUGGGUAGCAAACAGGAUUAGAUACCCGAGUAGUC
RNAcentral lists this ribosomal RNA (465 nucleotides) under Vreelandella stevensii. RNAcentral describes it as "partial 16S ribosomal RNA". It matches the Rfam family "Bacterial small subunit ribosomal RNA", at positions 338 to 795 of the family's 1533-position model. Lineage: Bacteria; Pseudomonadati; Pseudomonadota; Gammaproteobacteria; Oceanospirillales; Halomonadaceae. The record is from RNAcentral.